GCCGGGGUCCCUAAGCCUGGUAUAGGGCAGGCCUGGAGAGCCUGUGGCCUUUCACGGGCCGCGUGGGUUCAAAUCCCACCCCCGGCG
Molecule: transfer RNA, 87 nt
Filed under: Candidatus Caldarchaeum subterraneum
Lineage: Archaea; Thermoproteati; Nitrososphaerota; Candidatus Caldarchaeales; Candidatus Caldarchaeaceae
Also listed under: 1 other name
Description: Candidatus Caldiarchaeum subterraneum (hot springs metagenome) tRNA-Ser
Rfam family: tRNA
About the family: Transfer RNA (tRNA) molecules are approximately 80 nucleotides in length. Their secondary structure includes four short double-helical elements and three loops (D, anti-codon, and T loops).
Source: RNAcentral